Molecule: ribosomal RNA, 482 nt
Filed under: uncultured bacterium
Lineage: Bacteria
Description: partial 16S ribosomal RNA
Rfam family: Bacterial small subunit ribosomal RNA
Source: RNAcentral
UGAACGUUGGCGGCAGGCCUCACACAUGCACGUCGAGCGGAUGAAGGGAGCUUGCUCCUGGAUUCAGCGGCGGACGGGUGAGUAAUGCCUAGGAAUCUGCCUGGUAGUGGGGGAUAACGUCCGGAAACGGGCGCUAAUACCGCAUACGUCCUGAGGGAGAAAGUGGGGGAUCUUCGGACCUCACGCUAUCAGAUGAGCCUAGGUCGGAUUAGCUAGUUGGUGGGGUAAAGGCCUACCAAGGCGACGAUCCGUAACUGGUCUGAGAGGAUGAUCAGUCACACUGGAACUGAGACACGGUCCCGACUCCGACGGGAGGCAGCAGUGGGGAAUAUUGGACAAUGGGCGAAAGCCUGAUCCAGCCAUGCCGCGUGUGUGAAGAAGGUCCUCGGAUUGUAAAGCACUUUAAGUUGGGAGGAAGGGCAGUAAGUUAAUACCUUGCUGUUUUGACGUUACCAACAGAAUAAGCACCGGCUAACUUCGUG